This 253-nucleotide ribosomal RNA is filed under the name uncultured bacterium. RNAcentral describes it as "partial 16S ribosomal RNA". It matches the Rfam family "Bacterial small subunit ribosomal RNA", at positions 524 to 776 of the family's 1533-position model. The record is from RNAcentral.
UACGUAGGGGGCGAGCGUUGUCCGGAGUUACUGGGCGUAAAGGGCAUGCAGGCGGUCCGGCACGUUUUGUGUGACAGCGGGUGGCUUAACUACCCGAGGAUGCGAAAGACGGUUGGACUUGAGGACUCGAGAGGGACACGGAAUUCCGGGUGGAGUGGUGAAAUGCGUAGAGAUCCGGAGGAACACCGAAGGCGAAGGCAGUGUCCUGGCGAGUGACUGACGCUGAGGUGCGAAAGCCAGGGGAGCGAACGGG